Molecule: ribosomal RNA, 386 nt
Filed under: uncultured bacterium
Lineage: Bacteria
Description: bacterial SSU rRNA
Rfam family: Bacterial small subunit ribosomal RNA
Source: RNAcentral
AUUGAACGCUGGCGGAAUGCUUUACACAUGCAAGUCGGGCGGCAGCGCGGGGGCAACCCUGGCGGCGAGCGGCGAACGGGUGAGUAACACAUCGGAACGUACCCUGUCGUGGGGGAUAACGAAUCGAAAGAUUCGCUAAUACCGCAUACGACCUGAGGGUGAAAGCGGGGGAUCGCAAGACCUCGCGCGAGAGGAGCGGCCGAUGGCGGAUUAGCUAGUUGGUGGGGUAAAGGCCCACCAAGGCGACGAUCCGUAGCGGGUCUGAGAGGACGGCCCGCCACACUGGGACUGAGACACGGCCCAGACUCCUACGGGAGGCAGCAGUGGGGAAUAUUGCGCAAUGGGCGAAAGCCUGACGCAGCGACGCCGCGUGGGUGAUGAAGGCC